Molecule: ribosomal RNA, 776 nt
Filed under: uncultured Neocallimastigales
Lineage: Eukaryota; Fungi; Neocallimastigomycota; Neocallimastigomycetes; Neocallimastigales
Description: partial large subunit ribosomal RNA
Rfam family: Eukaryotic large subunit ribosomal RNA
Source: RNAcentral
AGAGAGAGACAUGCGCGCAUAUCAAUAAGCGGAGGAAAAGAAACUAACAAGGAUUCCCUUAGUAACGGCGAGUGAAGCGGGAAGAGCUCAAAUUUGAAAUCUUCAAGGUUUUACCUUGACGAAUUGUAGUUUAAAGAAGUGUUUUCUGCUGAAGUUUUGGUAAAAGUUCUUUGGAAUAGGACAUCAUAGAGGGUGAGAAUCCCGUAUUUGACCAUUAUUUUCAGCUUUGUGAUACACUUUCAAAGAGUCGGAUUGUUUGGGAAUGCAGUCCAAAAUGGGUGGUAAAUUUCAUCUAAAGCUAAAUAUUGGCGAGAGACCGAUAGCGAACAAGUACCGUGAGGGAAAGAUGAAAAGAACUUUGAAAAGAGAGUUAAACAGCUACGUGAAAUUGUCAAAAGGGAAGCGUUUGACACCAGUGUUGUUUUCUCGAAAAUCAAUUAAAAAUGGCUCGAUUUUGUAUUGCUUGAGACCUUAAAAGCUCACUGUACAUUUUUCGUGUCUUUUUUAAUGCACUUUUCGUUUAACAAGUCAACAUCAGUUUCUUUUGUUGUAAAAGGGUCAUUGGAAGGUGGCUUUCUUUUCGGAGAAAGUGUUUAUAGCCUUUGGCCUCUGCAAUCGGAGAGACUGAGGUCUGCAGCGUAGACUCUUCGGGGUUAGAUACAUUUGUGCUAAGUUAUAGCUUUUUAUAGACAACUUGUUGACUAUAAUUAGUCUUGUAGCUUACUCGCUUAUGCUAUUUUACCUACGCUUAGGAUGUUGAGUCGUAGAGCACGCAG